This 83-nucleotide ribosomal RNA is filed under the name Anoxybacillus sp. ST4. RNAcentral's name for it is "partial 23S ribosomal RNA". It matches the Rfam family "Bacterial large subunit ribosomal RNA", at positions 1 to 83 of the family's 2925-position model. The record is from RNAcentral. Lineage: Bacteria; Bacillati; Bacillota; Bacilli; Caryophanales; Anoxybacillaceae.
AGUUAAGUUAGAAAGGGCGCACGGUGGAUGCCUUGGCACUAGGAGCCGAUGAAGGACGGGACAAACACCGAUAUGCUUCGGGG